CUCCAGCUUCGUCGUCUUCUUCUUCUUCUUAC
RNAcentral lists this small RNA (32 nucleotides) under Arabidopsis thaliana (thale cress). RNAcentral describes it as "ATSL126360". The record is from RNAcentral. Lineage: Eukaryota; Viridiplantae; Streptophyta; Magnoliopsida; Brassicales; Brassicaceae.